This is a long non-coding RNA of Ochlerotatus camptorhynchus, 346 nucleotides long. RefSeq lists it as uncharacterized. NCBI's taxonomy places the organism in Eukaryota, Metazoa, Arthropoda, Insecta, Diptera, Culicidae. The record is from RefSeq and is a predicted model, not a curated record. The transcript is spliced from 3 exons.
CUAGUACGACGAACGCCAUCAAGAUAGAGCUUUUAUUGCGAUUCAUCUGUCGGCUGCCGGUAGUUUGCUCUAUUAUCUUAAUUAUCUACAAAAAGCACUUCGAUCCGGAGUGAUAGUGAUAGUCGGCGGGAUUCACCAUCGCUGUACGUCGAUUCAGUGGCACUUCUGGUGAUUUUCACGGCGCAUCAAUAGCUUCCGCAUUUCCUCUCGUCGAUCCUUCUUGGCCAGUUCCGGUCCAGGUAGUACCCAAAUCUCGACGUCAACUGACGGCUUGCGUGGUUGCCAAAGGGUAAGACCGCGAGUAGCGAAACAUUACUCUUAUCCCCGGUCGGCAAAGGCUGAACAA